AUUGAACGCUGGCGGCAGGCCUAACACAUGCAAGUCGAACGAGUGGCGGACGGGUGAGUAAUGUAUGGGGAUCUGCCCGAUAGAGGGGGAUAACUACUGGAAACGGUGGCUAAUUCCGCAUACCAUCGUAUGUAGCCAUACGGGAUUAGCGAGUAGGGGGGGUAAAGGCUCACCUGGGCGACGAUCCCUAGCUGGUCUGAGAGGAUGAUCAGCCACACGGGGACUGAGACAGGGCCCAGACUCCUACGGGAGGCAGCAGUGGGGAAUAUUGCACAAUGGGCGCAAGCCUGAGGCAGCCAGGCCGCGUGUAUGAAGAAGGCCUUAGGGUUGUAAAGUACUUUCAGCGGGGAGGCGUUACCCGCAGAAGAAGCACCGGCUAACUCCGUGCCAGCAGCCGCGGUAAUUC
RNAcentral lists this ribosomal RNA (406 nucleotides) under uncultured bacterium. RNAcentral describes it as "partial 16S ribosomal RNA". It matches the Rfam family "Bacterial small subunit ribosomal RNA", at positions 29 to 526 of the family's 1533-position model. The record is from RNAcentral.